GGUUCGACUAAGCCAUGCGAGUCGAAUGUAGCAAUACAUGGCGAACUGCUCAGUAACACGUGGACAACCUGCCCUUAGGACGGGGAUAAACCCGGGAAACUGGGUAUAAUACCCGAUAGGUCUCGAUUGCUGGAAUGCAUCGAGAUUUAAAGCUCCGGCGCCUAAGGAUGGGUCUGCGGCCUAUCAGGUAGUAGUGGGUGUAGCGUACCUACUAGCCUACGACGGGUACGGGUUGUGAGAGCAAGAGCCCGGAGAUGGAUUCUGAGACACGAAUCCAGGCCCUACGGGGUGCAGCAGGCGCGAAAACUUUACAAUGCUGGCAACAGCGAUAAGGGAACCUCGAGUGCCAGGUUACAAAUCUGGCUGUCGAGAUGCCUAAAAAGCAUUUCAUAGCAAGGGCCGGGCAAGACCGGUGCCAGCCGCCGCGGUAACACCGGCGGCUCGAGUGGUAACCGUUAUUAUUGGGUCUAAAGGGUCUGUAGCCGGCCGGAUAAGUCUCUUGAGAAAUCUGGCAGCUUAACUGUCAGGCUUUCAGGAGAUACUGUCUGGCUCGAGGCCGGGAGAGGUGAGAGGUACUUCAGGGGUAGGGGUGAAAUCUUG
Molecule: ribosomal RNA, 600 nt
Filed under: uncultured archaeon
Lineage: Archaea
Description: bacterial SSU rRNA
Rfam family: Archaeal small subunit ribosomal RNA
Source: RNAcentral